CUCAAUGGUAGAGCACUAGGCUUGAGUGAAAAAGCUCAGACAGUGCCUAGGCCCAUGGCUGACAAAAAUGAAACAGAACAAAUCAUAUAAAUUACCAGUAAUCAUUGUGUUAGCAGAGCUGGCAAAUUUGGUUUUGAUACUGAAAAUAGAUUCACAGUUAAUAAAAUAAAUAAUGGCAAAUUUGAAAGUCAAGAUCAAGAUUGUGGAAGAAUGAACCUAACAUGGAAUGAAAACAGAAACUUGUAUUUCAAAUAAUAUGCCCAUUGGUCUGACAACAAAAAUAAUUGUAAAAAGUGUUGAAUUCUGAGUUUGUUUAUUGUAAGAUUGAGCAAAAAUUUUAUUCCAAAUUCAUGUACUGAAUUUGUCAUUAUUGGAGAACAGGGUUUUAAGUAUGAAAAAAGGGAAACUGAUGUGGACUUGGCAUUGACAUUGGAUAUAGUUUAUACACGUUAUACGUGUAUGUGUUUGUAUAUCUUUUUUGGUGGGGUGCAAUACAGAAAUUUGAACUCAGGGUCUUGUACUUGCUAGACAGGUGCUCUCUGACUUGAGCCAUUUAGCCAGUCUCUUUUUACAUUUUUGAAAAAAGGUCUUCCUUUAUGUCUACAUGACGGAACAUUUUUACUUGCAUAUAUGCCACAGCUCCCAGACAUUGGUUGAGAAGGGAGUAUUGUAAACUUUUUUUGGGUCAGCAUUAGCCUUAAAUUGUGACCCCUUCAGUAUUUUCCUCCCAAAUUGCCAGGAUUACAGGCUUGAGCCACUAUGCCUUACGGAUAGUGAAAGGGCCUACAAGGCAAUAUUAUCCUUUCAGUAAUGAGCAUACUUUAUGUCCAGGCAGAAGUUUCUAAAAGACUAUUUCUUAUUAAAAAUAAACAAUGAUUCUUAGAGAAAGGAUUGGUUCUAGGCUAGAGUAAGGAAAAUAGAGGAAUCAACUAAUUAGACCAAUUAAUUGAUUCAUAAGUAAGGAACAGAGUGCUCAAAAAAAAUGAUAGAGUCACAUCAAGCAUAUACAAGUCCAAGUGAAAGAGUUCACACUUGGUUGAAUCUGGGACACAUUUUGAGCAUUAGACUUGGUAAUUAUAGGAAUAUAAUAGUUAUAUAAAAGAAGGAUUUGAAUGUUUGGUUACAAGUAAAUGAAUGAUAGAAAAGAACAGAAGUCAUUUACAAAAGAAUACUACCUAGUUCAUAUAGAAGUAAUAACCACAUUAGUCAAGAAUCAUCAAAACUAGUAACUGGAAGUUUGUCAAGGAUUAAGGUGCUUAUAUUACUUUAAGCCUUUUCUGUAUAUUACUUUUUAAAGGAAAAGGGUAACCUUAUGGCACAUUAAAGUCUCCAUUGUAACAAAGUGACAGAACUUACAAUGUAGCAGAUGCUUCCUAGAGUAAAUACCAGGAUGCCAGGUCACACCUGUGACAUUCUUGCAUUAUCUUUACUUUUUUUUUUUUUUUUUUUGUCUGAGACUAGGACUCAGACUUGGUACCAGACACUUUCAUUUCCUAGUGCUCAGUGCUCUUUCAACUAAGCCUUGCCUCUAACCCCAUCAUAAUGCUUUAUCUAAUUAUUUAUGAAGAAACACUGAUAAAUACAAACCAAGCAGUCUAUAAAACUGCUACGAUAUACUCUUUAAAAUGUCAAGGUCAUGGAAAUCAAGAACCACUUUAAUUUUAAAUGGUUCAGGGGGAAAAAGUGUCUGUCUGGAGUUAGGAGUUAGGGUGGGACACAGAAGUUGCUUGAGCAACUGAGAGGAAGAAUGAGAAUAUAGUUGUUCCUAGAUAUGUAUGAUGGAUUGGUUCCAGAACCUCCUUUGGACAUCAAAAUCUUUAGCUGGUCAAUUCUCUUCUGUAAAGUAACAGAGAAUUUAUUCAACUGGCUUUGAAUUUGUAUUCCUCCUGCCUUAGUUUCUCAAGUACUGGGAUUUAGGCAUGUACACGAUGCUGACUAUAAAUUCCUUCCUGUCUUCUUCCCUUCCUUCCUUUCCAGUUACAGAGUUUGAACUCAGUAUCUCACAAUCUUAGUAGGCAUGCUUGCUUACUGCUGACACACUACCACUUGAUUAUUACUUGGAGGUAAAGUCUUCUAGAAAUUUUCUGGCUGGUCUUGUUGCAGUCUUCUGAUCUCAGCCUCUUAAGUAGUUAGGAUAACAGGUUUAAGUCACUUGCACCUGCCCUGAAUUUCUUUAUAAGAGUAUUGACUUUCUUUCUAUUGUUAAAAUAUCACCUGUGCCUAAAAGUGUAGAUUUGAUGUUUGUUUUUUAAUUAGCACACAGUUGUACAAAGGCAGUUUCAUUGUGAUAUUUCCACACAUGCAUAGAGUGUAUCCAGAUCAGCCCUACUCCCUUAAUCUUUCUCCCCAAUCCUUAAAACAAUUGGAACAGAUUUCAUUUUCACAGAUGUAAUUAAGCUACCUGGAUCAUAUUCAUCUUCAUUUACCCUCUUUGUUAGCACUCUUUCUCUCCCACUGGUACCCAAUCCCCAAUCUGAGCCUGUUUUACCUGAUUUUUUUUUUUUUGCAUGCCCGUGUAUAUGUUAAUUCCACCAAGGGUACUGUAUUUCAGAAGUGCAUAUGUUAUAUUUUAUUCAGAAUAACUAUCUAGUGCUCCUCUUCCUCAGCUGUUCCCAUCUCCUGUUUGUUAGUGUUUUUGUUUCUAAAUGACAUUCAAAGUAAGAUAACAAA
Perognathus longimembris pacificus (Pacific pocket mouse) is the source of this 2670-nucleotide long non-coding RNA. RefSeq lists it as uncharacterized. The transcript has 3 exons. Lineage: Eukaryota; Metazoa; Chordata; Mammalia; Rodentia; Heteromyidae. The record is from RefSeq and is a predicted model, not a curated record.